Long non-coding RNA from Dromaius novaehollandiae (emu), 1847 nucleotides. RefSeq lists it as uncharacterized. The transcript is spliced from 3 exons. The record is from RefSeq and is a predicted model, not a curated record. NCBI's taxonomy places the organism in Eukaryota, Metazoa, Chordata, Aves, Casuariiformes, Dromaiidae.
GCCCCGCUCCCCUGUCUGGUGGGGUGGGAGACCGGUGGCUCCUCCCGCCGAGCUGAGAGCCACGUAGGGCACCCCUAUGCGCUCCCUACGCAUCUGGGAUGGCACCCCUGCCCUGAGGGCCCCGCAGAGUCCCACCCUUCCUGCAACCAGCCCCUCCAAAGCCAUUAAACCACCCACAAAUCCAGCCCCAACGCCCCCACAGGCCCCAAAACGCCUCCGAGCCCUGCCGCAAUGUUGUCACUGACUCCAGACCUUCGCCUGCACUCUGUCCAAGGCCCCAAACAUUCCUCAGACUGCUGCCAGACCCAGUCCCCGCAGCAGUGAGGCGUUCUAACAAAGAUGGGGUGCGAUCUGCGUCUCCGCCUCGACUCGGUCCCGCUUUAGAGAAACAGGAACUUAGAGCACUUCCUGGUGAAGAGUGUUGACGGGUGGAUGCGCAGAUGACAAAGAGAUUUUUCUCUCUUUUCUUCUGAGCCGCCUCUGAGAAGCCUCUGUAUGUGCACGAUGUGGCUGAUCUGGGAUAAUCGUGCUGUGCGCAGUGCUUAAGGAGAACAUUGCCCUAAAAUGGCGGGCUAAGGAAUAGCCUAAAAAACCUAAAAGGCUCGGGAAAAGCUCAAGAGAACACCGAUGGGCUCUGGGAAGCCCCAGUGAUGCUAGCGAAAACAGCGUGGCUUUUAGGCACCUCCUCAGAGCAGCAGCAAUGUCUCGCUCCAGCCUAUGGGACAAUGGGGACUCUUAAUUACCGCCUUGAAUUACCACAAGUGUUGCGAAAGCAGAAGGGACUAGGGAGCAUGCAGAGCAGGUUGUGGACUAUAUGUCAAGUUUAAACAAGCAACAAGCCCCUCUGCAAAUAGAAACAGGUUUAGCCCGAAGUAAUAGACGAAGGUAGCUGUGAGUAACGUGAAGCGAAGCGGUGACGUCGGUCACCCCGAAAGCCUCGGAGAAGCGGUCUGAAAAUCUGGUACCCUCGCGGCCUCGGCAGUCUUUUUGGUUUGUUUGGCAGGGCAGCCCACCGAAGGGGGACAUCUCGAAGAGAAGCAGCAAGACCUGGGGAUCCGGUGGUUCAUUUUGGUCAUCGCCUGUGAGGCCAGCGUCCGAGCGUAAGAGGAAGCUAGGAGCUGUGUCGAAAAGAGAUGGAACCAAGGACAGCAAAUGCUGACGAAGAGAAGAGACGGACAAGCGUUUUCUUGUGGUUAAUACCGAAGGGACGGGAUGAAACAAGGAAGCCAGAAUGCAGCGGCCCCUCGAUAUCACCAGGAACUGCUGCAGGAGGAGGCGUUCUGGCACGGGUAACUAAGGUAAGUAUCGCUGAUGACCGUUAGUAGUUAUUUCGGCCUCCCCGAGGCAGCGCUGAGGACUGAGUAACCUGAGGGGCUCUGGCCUGGGCUAGGGCAGAAGUGCAGGCAGGCGGGAUCAGGCAUUUUCCUCUCAGCUCUCCGAGCUGAAUCCUAGCCCCGAAGGAAAAAGCAUUGGGGGGAGGCUGUCGGCUACUCGGACACCUGCCACGUCGAGGGCAGGGGCAGGAGCUGACCCUUCCCGGACGGACAGACGGACGGACGGACAGACAGACGCUGGUGCGGCGGUGACUCUUUGGGUAUCGCAGGUGGGGGGAGCUGGCGCUGGGGCAGGACCUGGGCAGCGGAGCUGCCGUGGAGCACGGCCUGCCGGGACCGGCCCGGCAGCUGCCCCGCGGAGGAGGUGAGCGGGGCCGGGGGAGGCGCGCUGCAGGCUGCGGGUCCCGCAUGCGCCGGGGGUCCCGGCGGCUGGGAGCGUCCCGGGGCCCCGGAGGCGGGGGGAGCAAGGGGGUGCGCCGGGGCUGUGGUGCGGUUUACUGCGCGGUCGGAGGA